GGAAGGCCAGAGACAAUAAGUACUGCUAAUCCUUAUUACCCGCGGUUAAAAUCCGCGGCUUCCUC
RNAcentral lists this transfer RNA (65 nucleotides) under Erimyzon oblongus (creek chubsucker). RNAcentral describes it as "tRNA-Ser". The record is from RNAcentral. Lineage: Eukaryota; Metazoa; Chordata; Actinopteri; Cypriniformes; Catostomidae.